CGUCAAAUCAUCAUGCCCCUUAUGUCUUGGGCUUCACGCAUGCUACAAUGGCCGGUACAAAGGGCUGCGAUACCGCGAGGUGGAGCGAAUCCCAGAAAAGCCGGUCUCAGUUCGGAUUGGGGUCUGCAACUCGACCCCAUGAAGUCGGAGUCGCUAGUAAUCGCAGAUCAGCAACGCUCGCGGUCGAAUACGUUCCGGGCCUU
This 203-nucleotide ribosomal RNA is filed under the name uncultured Cellulomonas sp. RNAcentral's name for it is "partial 16S ribosomal RNA". It matches the Rfam family "Bacterial small subunit ribosomal RNA", at positions 1183 to 1382 of the family's 1533-position model. The record is from RNAcentral. Lineage: Bacteria; Bacillati; Actinomycetota; Actinomycetes; Micrococcales; Cellulomonadaceae.